GUGUCAGCAGCCGCGGUAAUACCCGCGCCCCAAGUGGUGGUCGAUAUUAUUGAGCCUAAAACGUCCGUAGCCGGUCUUUUAAAUCCUUGGGUAAAUCGGGCAGCUUAACUGUCCGACUUCCGAGGAGACUGGAAGACUUGGGACCGGGAGAGGUCAGAGGUACUUCUGGGGUAGGGGUAAAAUCCUGUAAUCCUGGAAGGACCACCGGUGGCGAAGGCGUCUGACUAGAACGGAUCCGACGGUGAGGGACGAAGCCCUGGGGCGCAAACGGGAUUAGAUACCCCGGUAGUCCAGGGUGUAAACGCUGCGGGCUUGGUGUUGGGGGUCCUUUGUGGGCGCCCAGUGCCGGAGAGAAGUUGUUAAGCCUGCUGCUUGGGGAGUAUGUCCGCAAGGAUGAAACUCAAAUAAAUUGACGG
RNAcentral lists this ribosomal RNA (416 nucleotides) under uncultured bacterium. Its description in RNAcentral is "bacterial SSU rRNA". It matches the Rfam family "Archaeal small subunit ribosomal RNA", at positions 455 to 871 of the family's 1478-position model. The record is from RNAcentral.